Long non-coding RNA from Populus euphratica (Euphrates poplar), 212 nucleotides. RefSeq lists it as uncharacterized. The transcript has 4 exons. The record is from RefSeq and is a predicted model, not a curated record. Lineage: Eukaryota; Viridiplantae; Streptophyta; Magnoliopsida; Malpighiales; Salicaceae.
CCCGAAAUCUAUUCAGAAACUACCUUACCUUACGCAUCUCGAUCUGUGGGCGAACUACCUGAGUGGUAACAUACCACUGGAAUGGGCUAAUACGAAGCUGGAAAUCUUGUCUAUUGCUAUCAACCGCUUAACCGGACCAAUUCCUAGCUAUCUGGGAAAGAUUAUCACACUCAGAUGCUUGAACAUUCAAAAUAAUAUGUUUUCUAGAAUAG